GACAGCAAGGUCCGUGCAGACAGCAGGCUCCGAGAGAGGAGAGAAGCAGACUGCCUUUGAAGAGCGUCGGGAGUUGGGAGGGGCGGCUCCUUACAUGGAAGUUGCGGUAGGCUCAGUGUGAGCGUCGAGGGGACCAGAUUCACAGUACGCGGUGCCAAAGGGGAGCGAAACGUAAUCCUUGAGCUGUAACCUGAGUUUCAACAGGGAGAAAAAUCUUGAACUGGCAAGGAAUGAGCAGACACACCCACCUCAUAUACCCCGCGCCACAGCUGGAGCCAUUCAGUAAUCAGGGAGCAGUCACUAACAGACAUGCUCCAGUGACAUCGGACAAAUUAAUUUCACCCUCCACAAAAAUGGCCACACGAAAGAUGGACAACAGGAGCUUUUAAGACAGUGUCCCUUGCUGCUGUAAAGCCCAUCGCACUGGAUACUGGAUAAAGAGGAGAAGCAGUUAAAUAAGCCUGAUCUCUCAUUAUCAACGUCCUCUGUGAUGAGGUUGAGAAAAGCUUUUGACGGAAACUCCUCCUAUACGCAGCGGGAGCUUCAGACAGCCCAUAUUCACCUGUAAGAGCAGUUGUGACGUGAGGCAUGCAGAGCUCGAUGCUGUCAGGAUCCUGGUCACCUCCCACACCUACCGGUUUACAAUCUGCUCACCUGCACCCUUUAUCUGGACUCCAACACCCUUCAGCCAACGUCAGUCCGUCUGCUUUCUGCGGAAACCAACCCAGGCUCCAACUCAAAUCAGUCAUUACAGCUUCCACCAGACCUGCAGCUCACCCGCUUCAUCGCCCACCCAAGCUACGUGAAUUGCAGUCCAGAACCCUCCACCACUACUAGCAAUGAAUAAACCGUUUUCAACUUACUACAGUCUGUGUCCUGCUUCAGGGUUCAUCCCGUCAAACAUAUUAGGUUAACAAAGCUGUGGAUUUUUCCUGAGAAUACAUGAUCAACAGAAUCUGCACUGCAGCCAAACCUGCUAAAGGCUUAAAGCUCUUGAAAACAAAAAUAUUAAGGCAGGGAAAUUCUCUGAAGUGCAGAGGAGUCUGGCUGGAGAUGUGACAAACCAAGGGGUCGCCACAGCGAACAAGUCGCAUGGUAAACUUGGCA
Non-coding RNA from Oryzias latipes (Japanese medaka), 1107 nucleotides. The record is from RefSeq and is a predicted model, not a curated record. Lineage: Eukaryota; Metazoa; Chordata; Actinopteri; Beloniformes; Adrianichthyidae.